CUAACACCGAUAUGCUUCGGGGAGCGGUAAGUACGCUUUGAUCCGGAGAUUUCCGAAUGGGGCAACCCAAUCAGCUUAGUCGCUGAUUACUUGACUAGUGAAUACAUAGCUAGCAAGAGGUAGACGCAGUGAACUGAAACAUCUUAGUAGCUGCAGGAAGAGAAAGAAACAUCGAUUCCCUGAGUAGCGGCGAGCGAAAAGGGAAGAGCCCAAACCAACAAGCUUGCUUGUUGGGGUUGUAGGAYUGAACAUUAGAGUUACCAAAGUGCRACGUAGUCGCAACAGUUGGGAAGCUGUGCCAUAGAGGGUGAAAGCCCCGUAGACGAAACGUCACACUCUCUGUUCAGGAUCCUGAGUACGGCGGGACACGUGAAACCCCGUCGGAACCCGCGAGGACCAUCUCGCAAGGCUAAAUACUCCCUAGUGACCGAUAGUGAACCAGUACCGUGAGGGAAAGGUGAAAAGCACCCCGGAAGGGGAGUGAAAUAGUUCCUGAAACCAUGUGCCUACAAGCUGUCGGAGCCCGUUAAUGGGUGACGGCGUGCCUCUUGCAGAAUGAACCGGCGAGUUACGAUUGCAUGCAAGGUUAAGGUGGAAAAACCGGAGCCGUAGCGAAAGCGAGUCUUAAAUGGGCGUAAGAAGUAUGUAGUUGUAGACCCGAAACCAGGUGACCUACCCAUGUCCAGGUUGAAGGUGCGGGAAAGCGCACUGGAGGACCGAAMCCGUGU
Molecule: ribosomal RNA, 728 nt
Filed under: Limosilactobacillus reuteri
Lineage: Bacteria; Bacillati; Bacillota; Bacilli; Lactobacillales; Lactobacillaceae
Description: bacterial LSU rRNA
Rfam family: Bacterial large subunit ribosomal RNA
Source: RNAcentral